ACGAACGCUGGCGGCUGCUUAACACAUGCAAGUCGAACGGAGUGGCGAACGGGUGAGUAACGCGUGAGCAACCUGCCUAUGACAGUGGGAUAGCCUCGGGAAACCGGGAUUAAUACCGCAUAGUCAUAGAUGGGCUCGCGUCUGAUUAGCUAGUUGGUGAGAUAACAGCCCACCAAGGCGACGAGCAGUAGCCGGUCUGAGAGGAAGAGCGGACACAUUGGAGCUGAGACACGGUCCAAACUCCUACGGUAGGCAGCAGUGGGGAAUAGUGCAAAAUGGGGGAAUCGCUGAUGCAGCGACGCCGCGUAAACGAAGAAGGUAUUCAUAUCGUAAAGUUCUGUCCUAUGGGAAGCGGUACCAAAGAAGAAAGCUCCGGCUAAAUACGUGCCAGCAGCCGCGGUAAUUC
This 406-nucleotide ribosomal RNA is filed under the name uncultured bacterium. RNAcentral describes it as "partial 16S ribosomal RNA". It matches the Rfam family "Bacterial small subunit ribosomal RNA", at positions 29 to 526 of the family's 1533-position model. The record is from RNAcentral.